CGCCUCUUGAAACUACAUAAGAGGUCCAGCCUGCCCAGUGACUAAGUUCAACGGCCGCGGUAUCCUAACCGUGCGAAGGUAGCGUAAUCACUUGUUCUUUAAAUGAGGACUAGUAUGAAUGGCACCACGAGGGUUAUGCUGUCUCCUUUUUCUAAUCAAUGAAACUGAUCUCCCCGUGAAGAAGCGGGGAUAUAUCCAUAAGACGAGAAGACCCUAUGGAGCUUUAAAUCAUGUAACACUGGCUUUUACAUUAAAAUAUUCCAGAAUUUUCAUAAUUACUCUAGCCACUAUGAUUACUAGUUUUAGGUUGGGGUGACCACGGAGCAAAAAUUAACCUCCAUGUUGAACGGAGCUACUCCUGAGCCAAAAGCCACGACUUUAAGCACUAAUAAAUUAACAUUAAUUGACCCAAUAUUUUUGAUCAACGAACCAAGUUACCCUAGGGAUAACAGCGCA
RNAcentral lists this ribosomal RNA (456 nucleotides) under Dendropsophus aff. minutus. RNAcentral describes it as "partial 16S ribosomal RNA". It matches the Rfam family "Bacterial large subunit ribosomal RNA", at positions 1819 to 2484 of the family's 2925-position model. The record is from RNAcentral. Lineage: Eukaryota; Metazoa; Chordata; Amphibia; Anura; Hylidae.